CUUUUACAAUGAAGAGUUUGAUCCUGGCUCAGGAUGAACGCUAGCUACAGGCUUAACACAUGCAAGUCGAGGGGCAGCAUUUUAGUUUGCUUGCAAACUGAAGAUGGCGACCGGCGCACGGGUGAGUAACACGUAUCCAACCUGCCGAUAACUCCGGGAUAGCCUUUCGAAAGAAAGAUUAAUACCGGAUGGCAUACGAAUAUCGCAUGAUAUUUUUAUUAAAGAAUUUCGGUUAUCGAUGGGGAUGCGUUCCAUUAGUUUGUUGGCGGGGUAACGGCCCACCAAGACUACGAUGGAUAGGGGUUCUGAGAGGAAGGUCCCCCACAUUGGAACUGAGACACGGUCCAAACUCCUACGGGAGGCAGCAGUGAGGAAUAUUGGUCAAUGGGCGAGAGCCUGAACCAGCCAAGUAGCGUGAAGGAUGAAGGCUCUAUGGGUCGUAAACUUCUUUUAUAUGGGAAUAAAGUUUUCCACGUGUGGAAUUUUGUAUGUACCAUAUGAAUAAGGAUCGGCUAACUCCGUGCCAGCAGCCGCGGUAAUACGGAGGAUCCGAGCGUUAUCCGGAUUUAUUGG
This 573-nucleotide ribosomal RNA is filed under the name Parabacteroides distasonis. Its description in RNAcentral is "bacterial SSU rRNA". It matches the Rfam family "Bacterial small subunit ribosomal RNA", at positions 1 to 557 of the family's 1533-position model. Lineage: Bacteria; Pseudomonadati; Bacteroidota; Bacteroidia; Bacteroidales; Tannerellaceae. The record is from RNAcentral.